ACAGAGAGACAGUGCAGAUGGCUCCAGCUGCUGCCGCUAACACUCCAUAGAUCAAGUCCAGGGACCAGUGGCUUCAUUCUUCUGCCAUGAUGGGCACAGCAGUGUCGGACCAAACCGCUCAGAAUCAAGAUGUAGAACUCCCAGCUCCUUCUCCAGCACCACGUCUGCCUGUGUGCCAUCUGCCGUGAUGAUAAUGGACUAAACCUAUGAACUACACACUGGGGGAUCAUGCGAUGCUCUCAGCACUGGGCUCAGUCCCCGGCCACCAGUCCGUACACUCCUUUGCAAUUGGUUCUGUGAUGGCAGAACCCUUUAUCUGCCCUUUAUUGUUCACUGUGACCUCUGCGUUAUUUUCAAAAUAAACACCCCAUCUUUUCUCCAGCAACUUUCAUUGGCCCAAGAUGGAGGCAGGCUGUUUCAUCACGUGGAGGUCAGAGGACACCAUCUGGUAUCAGUUGUCACCAUCCACCUUGUUUGAGGAAAGAUCUCUGCUGCUGUACCUGGAAUAUCAGGCUGGCUGGGCUCUUUCAGGGAAUCCUCCUGUCUCUGCCUCCCAGCUUGCCACAGGAUCACAGACAUGCACUACUGUGUCUGGCUUCCCAUGGAUGCUCAGGAUUUGAGUUCCGGCCCCCAUGCUUAUGUGACAAGUGUUUUAUCCACUUAGCCACCCACUCAGCCUGGACCUUCUUCCUUGACUCUGGUUUGCCUUUUUCAACUAUGACCAUCACUGUGCUACCACGCUGCAGCAAGAAAUCUUGAAUAUCAGGAAAUGCUUUAAAAACUUUCAUCAUAGUGUACUCCUGUUAUAAUAUUGUUAUCAUUGCUGAUUUCAUACUGCACCUGAAUGCAUAUGUCACAUGUGUGUCUCUGUAAAAUAAAAAAUGUUUAUGGUGUCAGUACAAACCAUGGUGUCAGUUACCCACUGGGGAUCUUGGACAGUACCCUAAGGUAAGGGGAACCUCAUCUAAACCAGGCCUGUGGAGUGAAUCGAGGUGGUGGGGAUGGUACC
This is a long non-coding RNA of Peromyscus californicus insignis, 1009 nucleotides long. RefSeq lists it as uncharacterized. Lineage: Eukaryota; Metazoa; Chordata; Mammalia; Rodentia; Cricetidae. The record is from RefSeq and is a predicted model, not a curated record. The transcript is spliced from 4 exons.